AACGAACGCUGGCGGCAGGCCUAACACAUGCAAGUCGAGCGCCCUUUCGGGGGAGCGGCGGACGGGUGAGUAACGCGUGGGAAUAAGCCCUUCUCUACGGAAUAGCCUCGGGAAACUGAGAGUAAUACCGUAUACGCCCUGUGGGGGAAAGAUUUAUCGGGGAAGGAUUAGCCCGCGUUGGAUUAGGUAGUUGGUGGGGUAAUGGCCUACCAAGCCGACGAUCCAUAGCUGGUUUGAGAGGAUGAUCAGCCACACUGGGACUGAGACACGGCCCAGACUCCUACGGGAGGCAGCAGUGGGGAAUCUUAGACAAUGGGGGCAACCCUGAUCUAGCCAUGCCGCGUGAGUGAUGAAGGCCUUAGGGUUGUAAAGCUCUUUCAGCUGGGAAGAUAAUGACGGUACCAGCAGAAGAAGCCCCGGCUAACUCCGU
This 430-nucleotide ribosomal RNA is filed under the name uncultured bacterium. Its description in RNAcentral is "partial 16S ribosomal RNA". It matches the Rfam family "Bacterial small subunit ribosomal RNA", at positions 29 to 506 of the family's 1533-position model. The record is from RNAcentral.